RNAcentral lists this ribosomal RNA (524 nucleotides) under Trematosphaeria grisea. Its description in RNAcentral is "LSU rRNA". It matches the Rfam family "Eukaryotic large subunit ribosomal RNA", at positions 114 to 606 of the family's 3401-position model. The record is from RNAcentral. Lineage: Eukaryota; Fungi; Ascomycota; Dothideomycetes; Pleosporales; Trematosphaeriaceae.
UUUGAAAUCUGGCUCCCCGCCACUGGGGGGGCCCGAGUUGUACUUUGCAGAGGGUGCUUUGGCGUUGGUGGCGGUCUAAGUUCCCUGGAACUGGCCAUCGCAGAGGGUGAGAGUCCCGUAUGUGGUCGCCCGCCUUCGCCGUGUAAAGCCCCUUCGACGAGUCGCGUUGUUUGGGAAUGCAGCGCUAAGUGGGAGGUAAAUUUCUUCUAAAGCUAAAUACCGGCCAGAGACCGAUAGCGCACAAGUAGAGUGAUCGAAAGAUGAAAAGCACUUUGGAAAGAGAGUCAAAUAGCACGUGAAAUUGUUGAAAGGGAAGCGCUUGCAGCCAGACGUGCCUGCAGAGGCUCAGCCGGAGGCCCCAUGGGCCCCCCGGUGCACUCUUCUGCGGGCAGGCCAGCAUCAGUUUGGGCGGCUGGAGAAUGGCCUCUGUCACGUAUCUCCUUAGAUGCCUCGCAAGAGGGGGAUGGCCUUAUAGGGGAGGCGGAGUGCAGCCAGCCUGGACUGAGGCGUCCCGCGCCGCCCGU